UAUUACCGCGGCUGCUGGCACGGAGUUAGCCGGUGCUUCUUCUGCGGGUAACGUCAAUUGCUGUGGUUAUUAACCACAACACCUUCCUCCCCACUGAAAGUACUUUACAACCCGAAGGCCUUCUUCAUACACGCGGCAUGGCUGCAUCAGGCUUGCGCCCAUUGUGCAAUAUUCCCCACUGCUGCCUCCCGUAGGA
Molecule: ribosomal RNA, 196 nt
Filed under: uncultured bacterium
Lineage: Bacteria
Description: partial 16S ribosomal RNA
Source: RNAcentral